Molecule: unclassified non-coding RNA, 207 nt
Filed under: uncultured fungus
Lineage: Eukaryota; Fungi
Description: sequence contains ITS1
Source: RNAcentral
UUUAUUUUUUGUACUAAAAACUCAGACAACAAAAUAUAUUCAGAGUUUUAAAUUUCCUCUGGCGGGAGUGGAAAAAGCUUAGAGAAAUAGCUUACUCCCCGCCAAAGCAACAAGGUCAAGUACAACAAAGGGUUGGAAGUUUACCCCCCCAAAAAAAGAGGGCAUAACUCUCUAUUAAUGAUCCUUCCGCAGGUUCACCUACGGAAA